GCCACAGUGGUCUAGCGGUUAGAACGCUGGCCUUGUAAUCCUGGGGUCUCGGGUUCGAUUCCUGGCCGUGCCC
Molecule: transfer RNA, 73 nt
Filed under: Zootermopsis nevadensis
Lineage: Eukaryota; Metazoa; Arthropoda; Insecta; Blattodea; Termopsidae
Rfam family: tRNA
About the family: Transfer RNA (tRNA) molecules are approximately 80 nucleotides in length. Their secondary structure includes four short double-helical elements and three loops (D, anti-codon, and T loops).
Source: Rfam by way of RNAcentral